AAUUGCUUCUUGUCUGGGAUUUUUCCCUUUUCUUUGUAUGGUUUAACGAGCACACGAGAAUCACACACAAAAUGAGGGUUGCCUUUGGCCAAAAUUUGCUUCACAGUUUCGGGGUAGAUGAAUGUAACAAAUCCAAACAUCCGCUUCUGCUGAUACGGAAUUCUAACAUCUUGCACUGGCCCGUACAUACUAAAGUAAUUAGACACAUCCUCCUCCUUGAAUGUACUAUCAGCAGGAAAUGUCAAGUAAAUUUGUCUCAAGCAAGAACUCGAAUUUCCAACCAGCGCCAUUGCUGAAAAUUCAUUUCUGUCGGGUAAGGAUCGACCGUGUUUGUGGAACUCAUCACUCAUCAUUAAUGCUGCCGCAGCCGAUCUUUGAUUAUCAUUGUAAACACUCAUGCAUCUGUUGAAACCAAAAGGAUGACGACCUCCAGAAGCCAUAAACUGAGAAGCAGCAGCAAAUCUCUG
This 467-nucleotide unclassified non-coding RNA is filed under the name Hevea brasiliensis (rubber tree). The record is from RNAcentral. Lineage: Eukaryota; Viridiplantae; Streptophyta; Magnoliopsida; Malpighiales; Euphorbiaceae.